RNAcentral lists this long non-coding RNA (2075 nucleotides) under Sus scrofa (pig). RNAcentral's name for it is "lncRNA (ENSSSCG00025011484.1)". Lineage: Eukaryota; Metazoa; Chordata; Mammalia; Artiodactyla; Suidae. The record is from RNAcentral.
AAAUCUCGGGCGACAGGCUUUGCGAGACUUGUACCGCCCGUGUAGCCGAGUUUGGGUCAUUCUUUCAGGUUUUUUUUGUUUGUCCGCGCAUCUGAGAAGUGGGUGUAGGUAUGACCCUGUUGUUUUUCCCAGAAGUAAGAACGUGGCCGUGGACGAGGCUGGAGGCAGUCGCACUUCCGGAGACCUCAUUUCGGGAGUGCCUUCUCUAUACUGGCUCCACAGGGAAACGCACCUGGGGGCUCCUGACUCCCGUUUUAGUCCAUCCUUAGACCCCGCAGGCCCGGGACUACAAAUUUCGGACCCCCAGACUUAGAUGUUGUUAUGCAUAUGGAUGGCAAGGUUUCCUCCAGAUAGAGCCCUAGCCUCGCAGAUAACAUGCGACCCGCAGAAACCCCGCAGUCCUUCUUGACUUAAAAAGGACUUCCACUUUUCUAGUUUCUCCUCUACCUGUAAAGUGUCUUGAUGUAGGUGAAAAGAAGGAAAAAAAGACUACACGCACAAUGUAAGAGCAGUGAGUUUCAGUUUUAUUCUGGGAUGUUACUAGGGACUAUAGCCUGGGAAAUAAUCUCUCAGCUCUUUGGAACUCUACAAGAGAUAGAGGAGGAGCCAGUAUGUAUAUGAAUUUUUGGUCUAUGAAAUGUAGUCAAGCAUACAUCUUGACUACUUACCAUCAAAAAAACCCAGGUAGUUCAAGUUAAUGAUUUUAGUGCUUUCCCAAGUAUGGGAGGAUGCAGGAAUCUAGCGUCAUUGAAAUUCUUCCUUAGAUACAUAUCUUUGUCUAGGGGCCAUGUAUCCAAAACACAGAAGGCUUCAUCCAGUUUUUCUCUACCCUGAAUUCCGCUUAGGGUGAACUGUUAGUGGGGCAACUGCAGAGUUGAGGCUUAACCUUUUGUGUAACUGGGUGAUAAAUGAGAUUCUUCGUCCUGUUCUUACUUACAGAGCAUGGUAAAGAUGGAAGAACUCUUUGUUGUUGUUGUUGUUAUCUGAGCUGGAGCUGCAGCAAUGAUGGAUCCUUUAACCCACUGCAUCUGGCCAGGGAUCAAACCCAUGCCUCUGCAGCAACCCAAGCUGCCACAGUCAGCUUCACCUGCCACAUCACAGCGGGAACUCUAGGGUGGAAGGAUUUUUUUUCUUUUCUUUUUAGGGCUGCACCUGCAGCAUAUGUAAGUUACCAGGCCAGGGGUCUAAUCAGAGCUAAGCUGCCCGUCUACACUGAUGCCUAUGCAGCAACAUGGAUUCGCGCCUCAUCUGCAACCUAUACCACAGCUCUCACUGAGCGAGACCAGGAAUUGAACCCACGUCCUCAUGGAUAUUAGUCAGGUUCUUAAUCUGAAGAACCACAACAGGACCUCUGUGGGGUGAGAGAAUUCUUUCUGUCCCUAUUUUAUAGGUAAGAAAGCUUUUUCUGACUCCAUUCAUAUUGACUACUUGGAGGUCUAUAAAAAGAACUAGCCUUUGUGCUGUUCCUCCAUGUUGGUGGAAUCCCUUGUCUACUAUGACCUUAUUUCCAAACCAUUUCAGGUCUUCUCCCUCUUCUGUGUGCAAAGCACCAGUAAUAAGCCACUGUCAUCACCCUGGUGACCUGGGGUUCCUUUGCCAUGCCUCCUGAAGCUGUCAGCCCUUGGACCAUGUGCAAGGAAAAUCAAAAUGGAGUGGGCAUUAGUAAGAGAGCUCUCCAAAAUGGAGCCAGGAGGCCACUGGGACAAGGACGUGAUGAUAAACCAGUCUCAGUCCGGGCUUCUCUUGGUUCGCUCCAGCCUUGGAUGGGCUUUUCCCCUCACAUCCCAAGAUGACUACCGGAAGUUUCAGGUAUGUGGUUGAGCACAUCCCUCAGCUUUACAUUGCUCAGGCAAAUUUAGGGACAUGCCCACUCAGAACCAAUUGUGGAGCAGGAUGUGGGGAUGGAUUUUGUUCAGUAUGAGUCUAGUUUAGGAGCUAGAGUUAUCUUCCUCUGAAGCCCAUGGCCUGUGGAGAGGAGUGGAAUAAAAAUUAGGGUGGAAGAUGGAUAAACAACAAGGUCCUCUCAUAUAUCCAGGGAACUGUAUUCAGUAGCCUGUGAUCAUAAUGGAAAAAAA